UACGAAGGGGGCUAGGGUGGUUCGGAAUUACUGGGCGUAAGGCGCGCGCAGGCGGCUUUCCAAGUCAGGGGUGAAAGCCCGGAGCUCAACUCCGGAACUGCCAUUGAAACUGUUUAGCUUGAGUAUGAGAGAGGUGAGUGGAAUUCCCAGUGUAGAGGUGAAAUUCGUAGAUAUUGGGAAGAACACCGGUGGCGAAGGCGGCUCACUGGCUCAUUACUGACGCUCAGGCGCGACAGCGUGGGGAUCAAACAGG
RNAcentral lists this ribosomal RNA (253 nucleotides) under uncultured bacterium. RNAcentral describes it as "partial 16S ribosomal RNA". It matches the Rfam family "Bacterial small subunit ribosomal RNA", at positions 524 to 776 of the family's 1533-position model. The record is from RNAcentral.